UACGGAGGGUGCGAGCGUUAAUCGGAAUUACUGGGCGUAAAGCGUGCGCAGGCGGUUUGUUAAGACAGAUGUGAAAUCCCCGGGCUUAACCUGGGAACUGCAUUUGUGACUGGCAAGCUAGAGUAUGGCAGAGGGGGGUAGAAUUCCACGUGUAGCAGUGAAAUGCGUAGAGAUGUGGAGGAAUACCGAUGGCGAAGGCAGCCCCCUGGGCCAAUACUGACGCUCAUGCACGAAAGCGUGGGGAGCAAACAGG
This 253-nucleotide ribosomal RNA is filed under the name uncultured bacterium. RNAcentral describes it as "partial 16S ribosomal RNA". It matches the Rfam family "Bacterial small subunit ribosomal RNA", at positions 524 to 776 of the family's 1533-position model. The record is from RNAcentral.